RNAcentral lists this ribosomal RNA (468 nucleotides) under uncultured bacterium. RNAcentral describes it as "partial 16S ribosomal RNA". It matches the Rfam family "Bacterial small subunit ribosomal RNA", at positions 28 to 507 of the family's 1533-position model. The record is from RNAcentral.
GACGAACGCUGGCGGCGUGCUUAACACAUGCAAGUCGAACGGAAAGGCCCUGCUUUUGUGGGGUGCUCGAGUGGCGAACGGGUGAGUAACACGUGAGUAACCUGCCCUUGACUGUGGGAUAACUUCAGGAAACUGGGGCUAAUACCGCAUAGGAGCUCCUGCUGCAUGGUGGUGGCUGGAAAGUUUCGGCGGUUUGGGAUGGACUCGCGGCUUAUCAGCUUGUUGGUGGUGUAGUGGCUUACCAAGGCUUUGACGGGUAGCCGGCCUGAGAGGGUGACCGGCCACAUUGGGCCUGAGAUACGGGCCAGACUCCUACGGGAGGCAGCGGUGGGGAAUAUUGCGCAAUGGGCGGAAGCCUGGUGCAGCGACGCCGCGUGCGGGAGGACGGCCUUCGGGUUGGAAACCGCUUUCGCCUGUGACGAAGAGUGAGUGACGGUAAUGGGUAAAGAAGCACCGGCUAACUACGUG